UACGUAGGGCGCAAGCGUUAUCCGGAAUUAUUGGGCGUAAAGAGCUCGUAGGCGGUUUGUCGCCGUCUGCCGUGAAAGUCCGGGGCUCAACUCCGGAUCUGCGGUGGGUACGGGCAGACUAGAGUGAUGUAGGGGAGACUGGAAUUCCUGGUGUAGCGGUGAAAUGCGCAGAUAUCAGGAGGAACACCGAUGGCGAAGGCAGGUCUCUGGGCAUUAACUGACGCUGAGGAGCGAAAGCAUGGGGAGCGAACAGG
This 254-nucleotide ribosomal RNA is filed under the name uncultured bacterium. RNAcentral describes it as "partial 16S ribosomal RNA". It matches the Rfam family "Bacterial small subunit ribosomal RNA", at positions 524 to 776 of the family's 1533-position model. The record is from RNAcentral.